GAGUUUGAUCCUGGCUCAGGACGAACGCUGGCGGCAUGCCUAAUACAUGCAAGUCGAGCGGACUUGAAGAGAAGCUUGCUUCUCUGAUGGUUAGCGGCGGACGGGUGAGUAACACGUAGGCAACCUGCCCUCAAGUUUGGGACAACUACCGGAAACGGUAGCUAAUACCGAAUAAUUGUUUUCUUCGCCUGAAGGAAACUGGAAAGACGGAGCAAUCUGUCACUUGGGGAUGGGCCUGCGGCGCAUUAGCUAGUUGGUGGGGUAACGGCUCACC
Molecule: ribosomal RNA, 274 nt
Filed under: Paenibacillus xylanexedens
Lineage: Bacteria; Bacillati; Bacillota; Bacilli; Caryophanales; Paenibacillaceae
Description: partial 16S ribosomal RNA
Rfam family: Bacterial small subunit ribosomal RNA
Source: RNAcentral